AGAGCGAACGCUGGCGGCAGGCUUAACACAUGCAAGUCGAGCGGGCGUAGCAAUACGUCAGCGGCAGACGGGUGAGUAACGCGUGGGAACGUACCUUUUGGUUCGGAACAACCCAGGGAAACUUGGGCUAAUACCGGAUAAGCCCUUACGGGGAAAGAUUUAUCGCCAAAAGAUCGGCCCGCGUCUGAUUAGCUAGUUGGUGAGGUAACGGCUCACCAAGGCGACGAUCAGUAGCUGGUCUGAGAGGAUGAUCAGCCACAUUGGGACUGAGACACGGCCCAAACUCCUACGGGAGGCAGCAGUGGGGAAUAUUGGACAAUGGGCGCAAGCCUGAUCCAGCCAUGCCGCGUGAGUGAUGAAGGCCCUAGGGUUGUAAAGCUCUUUUGUGCGGGAAGAUAAUGACGGUACCGCAAGAAUAAGCCCCGGCUAACUUCGCGCCAGCAGCCGC
This 448-nucleotide ribosomal RNA is filed under the name uncultured bacterium. RNAcentral's name for it is "SSU rRNA". It matches the Rfam family "Bacterial small subunit ribosomal RNA", at positions 26 to 518 of the family's 1533-position model. The record is from RNAcentral.